CCUACGGGACGCAGCAGUAGGGAAUAUUGCACAAUGGGCGCAAGCCUGAUGCAGCCAUGCCGCGUGUGUGAAGAAGGCCUUCGGGUUGUAAAGCACUUUCAGCGGGGAGGAAGGCGUUGAUGCUAAUAUCAUCAACGAUUGACGUUACCGACAGAAGAAGCACCGGCUAACUCCGUGCCAGCAGCCGCGGUAAUACGGAGGGUGCAAGCGUUAAUCGGAAUUACUGGGCGUAAAGCGCACGCAGGCGGUUGAUUAAGUUAGAUGUGAAAUCCCCGGGCUUAACCUGGGAAUGGCAUCUAAGACUGGUCAGCUAGAGUCUUGUAGAGGGGGGUAGAAUUCCAGGUGUAGCGGUGAAAUGCGUAGAGAUCUGGAGGAAUACCGGUGGCGAAGGCGGCCCCCUGGACAAAGACUGACGCUCAGGUGCGAAAGCGUGGGGAGCAAACAGGAUUAGAUACCCGUGUAGUC
Molecule: ribosomal RNA, 465 nt
Filed under: uncultured bacterium
Lineage: Bacteria
Description: bacterial SSU rRNA
Rfam family: Bacterial small subunit ribosomal RNA
Source: RNAcentral